GAUGAACGCUGGCUACAGGCUUAACACAUGCAAGUCGAGGGGAAACGACGGGGAAGCUUGCUUCCCCGGGCGUCGACCGGCGCACGGGUGAGUAACGCGUAUCCAACCUGCCUCUGACUGAGGGAUAACCCGUCGAAAGUCGGCCUAAUACCUCAUGGCAUCGUCUGCGGGCAUCCAACGACGAUUAAAGAUUUCAUCGGUCAGGGAUGGGGAUGCGUCUGAUUAGCUUGUUGGCGGGGUAACGGCCCACCAAGGCUACGAUCAGUAGGGGUUCUGAGAGGAAGGUCCCCCACAUUGGAACUGAGACACGGUCCAAACUCCUACGGGAGGCAGCAGUGAGGAAUAUUCGUCAAUGGGCGGGAGCCUGAACCAGCCAAGUAGCGUGCAGGAUGACGGCCCUAUGGGUUGUAAACUGCUUUUAUGCGGGGAUAAAGUGAGGGACGUGUCCUUCAUUGCAGGUACCGCAUGAAUAAGGACCGGCUAAUUCCGUG
RNAcentral lists this ribosomal RNA (491 nucleotides) under uncultured bacterium. RNAcentral describes it as "partial 16S ribosomal RNA". It matches the Rfam family "Bacterial small subunit ribosomal RNA", at positions 28 to 507 of the family's 1533-position model. The record is from RNAcentral.